This 417-nucleotide ribosomal RNA is filed under the name uncultured microorganism. Its description in RNAcentral is "bacterial SSU rRNA". It matches the Rfam family "Bacterial small subunit ribosomal RNA", at positions 9 to 425 of the family's 1533-position model. The record is from RNAcentral.
GAGUUUGAUCGUGGCUCAGAGUGAACGCUGGCGGUAGGCCUAACACAUGCAAGUCGAACGGCAGCACAGUAAGAGCUUGCUCUUAUGGGUGGCGAGUGGCGGACGGGUGAGGAAUACAUCGGAAUCUACUUUUUCGUGGGGAUAACGUAGGGAAACUUACGCUAAUACCGCAUACGGCCUACGGGUGAAAGCAGGGGAUCUUCGGACCUUGCGCGAUUGAAUGAGCCGAUGUCGGAUUAGCUAGUUGGCGGGGUAAAGGCCCACCAAGGCGACGAUCCGUAGCUGGUCUGAGAGGAUGAUCAGCCACACUGGAACUGAGACACGGUCCAGACUCCUACGGGAGGCAGCAGUGGGAUAUUGGACAAUGGGCGCAAGCCUGAUCCAGCCAUACCGCGUGGGUGAAGAAGGCCUCGGUUG